AUAGUAUGUAGUAACUUAGAGGUGGUAACAUGAAGGUUGCCAUUUAUUGUUUUGUGGGAUCUAUAGUAGUACUUUAACUUUGUGAUCUAUAUGAGGUCCAAAAUUAUAAGGAUGCAUUGGAGAGAAUUGUCCAAAACUUAGCAAGCCUUCAGAUGCAGGGGUGUACAUUGGCCUCCUGUUACAAAUAUGAGGUUAUGUUCAGAUCCACAUUCUAUGAAUACAAAGCUUGGGAUUUUGGAACGGGACAAUUCGCUUGAAGCCACUGAAUAUAUAGCUUUUGAGGACUUUGGUUUAGAAGCCUAAAGUAUGUUCCAAUCAUAAACAGUUUUCAUUCCAAAAAGGAUUUCAAACUACAGCUCAUGUAUUCUCUGAAGAAAGGUUUGAAACAAUUCAUUUUAAGAAAAAAUAAUCUGUAGUUAUCACAAUUUAAUAGAUUGUCUGAAUUAAUCCAUAGCAAUUUCCUUGCAUGUAUUCAGGCUACCUUAACACACGCUGAAUCAGACUUACAAAUUCAGACUUAGAUGUUAGUAAAGACUUGGCAGUACAAACAUUACCUACUGCUGUUUUAUUAAGAUGGAUAUAAUCCUACUAACUACAGUAGAGGGAUGUGAGUACAGACUUGGCACUCGGCAGUAUAGAAAUUCCCUGAACAACUACACACGCUGAAUCAGGUAUUCUAGAUCCUGAACACAAAACAUAAAUUAUCUAAUGCUGCAAAUUUGAGCUGAAGAAAUUGCAAUUGCUGAAGAUUGAACUGAAACCAGAAAUUUAUACCAUGUAGGGUUUGCAGUAGAGGAAUCUAUGAGAGAGGGGUACAGGUGCGGCGGUGUCGACGGACUGGUGGACGAGCUAGUCGGAGCGCCGGCGUAGAAGAGCGGCUGUGGCGAGCGGCUGGCGUCACGAGCCUGCCGGGACGCGCUGACCGGGCUGGUGCCGCCUUCUUACAGGCACCAGACUUGGCCAUGAUUCCGGUGGCUUCGCCCCGCCCGCCAGAGCCGCCUCCGGCCGGCGAGAGGGAGUGCGGGACAGGGGGAUCGAGGCGGCAGGGGAGGGAGAGGAUGAAGGUGCAGCCGUGGAGAAGGGAAAGGAGAUUUUUCUUUCGCGAUGGGGACGCCCGCAGCGGAUCGAUUCAC
Molecule: long non-coding RNA, 1133 nt
Filed under: Triticum aestivum (bread wheat)
Lineage: Eukaryota; Viridiplantae; Streptophyta; Magnoliopsida; Poales; Poaceae
Description: long non-coding RNA (TAES_LNC015122)
Source: RNAcentral